Long non-coding RNA from Ictalurus punctatus (channel catfish), 1251 nucleotides. Lineage: Eukaryota; Metazoa; Chordata; Actinopteri; Siluriformes; Ictaluridae. The record is from Ensembl.
AUCACAUCCACGCCAUAUAUUACCACAAGUAAGACUAGCAGCUCUGUUAAGACAAAAAAGUAUUGGCACCGUAUAAAAGAAGAGGAAGAAGCUGCAGUGGCUGAGCUGCAUUACUGUAAGAUUUAGCACACACACACACACACACACACACACACACACACACACAGGAUGCUGAGAAAACCUGAUGCUUUUAACUUUUGAGGAAAAUUUCCUUUUAAACUGUAAAAUUCAGAAGUGUUUUGCUAACCCUACAAUUAUCAGUGAUCUGGUCUCUAAUAGAAAUGAGAGUAGAAUAUAAACAAACAAACAAACAAACAAAUAAAUAAAUAAAGCAAACUGCAGAAAUACAGAGAGUGAUGUCUUUCAUUGAAAGUGACAGUCAGCUCAGCUGAACAAAAGUGUGCUUCCUGUGUGUAGGAGUGUGUGUGUGUGUGUGUGUGUGUGUGUGUGUGUGUGACUCUGUGGUUGAUGUGCUCUGUAUAACAGAAAUAUGAGAGGAAGAAGAACAUGUCUGCAGAAGUUUGAGACGUCGUCUGGUUCUCGAGGUGAGAAUUGAAAGAUUAUAAAAGUUCUGCGUGAGUAUUUACGCUGCGGUACUGAACUGUUUGGAGUAACGUAACGUACAGCAUUUCCUGAUUCUGCUGAAGUGUUGAAUAAAGCUGCUCGGUCGGAGGGAUGUUUGAGCGCGUGAGCAGGUUUUCAGCUGCAGGCAGCGAGGAGAACAGCUGAAGAGGACAUGUAUUUUUAGAUUACUGCAUUUCAGUUUAGAGCCAACCGUCUCGUCACGGAUCUCUGAGCCUCGGCACUUUGAAUCAGCACUUUGGUUCGACUCUUUCAGCAUCUGAGCUGCAUGUGAACGGUGAGUCAUGUGUCCAGCGUGGCAGGAAGAAGCCACAUAUAUUUUGUGAGGAGCUGGAAGCCAGAAGAACAAUCGCUGGUCAAAAUCCGGUCGUGUGGGAGUCAAGAGAACGAGUUGACUCUUAUUGGGGCCUAGCGCCGCAGCUUCAUCAGCACCUGUAGUUCUCAUCAACCUUCCUCUUCUUCUUCUUCUUCUUCUUCUUCGGCUCUUGAGUCUGUGGCAGUCCAUAGAACCGUCCAUAUGAAAGUUAUGAAAUUUGGUACACAGAUAGAGGACAGUCUGAAAUGUUACCAGAGCAAAUUUGGAGUCUCAAACCCUCUAGCGCCACCAACAGCUCAAAUUUGCACUCAUAUUUAUGCCUAUAACUUUUGAAGGGUAAGGGCUAGACACAA